Molecule: ribosomal RNA, 373 nt
Filed under: uncultured organism
Description: partial 16S ribosomal RNA
Rfam family: Bacterial small subunit ribosomal RNA
Source: RNAcentral
GUAGGUGGCAAGCGUUGUCCGGAAUUAUUGGGCGUAAAGCGCGCGCAGGCGGUUCUUUAAGUCUGAUGUGAAAGCCCACGGCUCAACCGUGGAGGGUCAUUGGAAACUGGAGAACUUGAGUACAGAAGAGGAAAGCGGAAUUCCACGUGUAGCGGUGAAAUGCGUAGAGAUGUGGAGGAACACCAGUGGCGAAGGCGGCUUUCUGGUCUGUAACUGACGCUGAGGCGCGAAAGCGUGGGGAGCAAACAGGGAUUAGAUACCCUAGUAGUCCACGCCGUAAACGAUGAGUGCUAAGUGUUAGGGGGUUUCCCGCCCCUUAGUGCUGCAGCUAACGCAUUAAGCACUCCGCCUGGGGAGUACGGCCGCAAGGCUG